Long non-coding RNA from Gadus morhua (Atlantic cod), 432 nucleotides. RefSeq lists it as uncharacterized. The record is from RefSeq and is a predicted model, not a curated record. The transcript is spliced from 4 exons. Lineage: Eukaryota; Metazoa; Chordata; Actinopteri; Gadiformes; Gadidae.
CUUCCGCCGAGCGGGCAUUUUGCGCCACAUGGACGUCUGUCAGCACCAGUCAGCACGAUUCUCGGACUGCCACUUCCCAAAAGGACCCAACCCCUGUGUCACACAACAACCAAGAUGGCUGGCUAGCUAGCUAGCAAGGAGCUAAUCUCUCAGAGACCAGUAAAGAGGUUUUUUUUGCUUUCAGAGGUGAAAACCUUUAUGUCAUGCCAGAGGUUGGAGCAAGUGAAGAAGGAGGCACCAGAGCUGAAGCCCAUCAAACCAAAGUCACCAUGGCAUAUGAUUGGUGUUGACCUUAUUGGACCAUUCAAAGCCUCAAAGAAUGGGAACCGCUUUUGUCUGACAGCAACUGAAGAACUAGCCUCAUUACAAAGAUGUCCUAUUCUUAGAUCACAAAAUAUCUGCCACUUUGUUAAAUAAAUAUAUUUCCCCAUA